AAAAACCGGAGGGACAGCAAAACGGGGAAAACCCAGACUCACCCGGCUCUCUGUGUUGCUCUGUGAUCAUCCCCAUCGAGCAGACGGAGAAGCGGAGGCUUAAGUGACCUGCCAAAGAGAGGUUUUUGGGAACUGGUGGAGGCAGAGGCCAUGCUACCCCGGCUCCGCCCGGGAAGUGGCCCCACCUGGCUCAGCAGGUG
This is a long non-coding RNA of Propithecus coquereli (Coquerel's sifaka), 200 nucleotides long. RefSeq lists it as uncharacterized. NCBI's taxonomy places the organism in Eukaryota, Metazoa, Chordata, Mammalia, Primates, Indriidae. The transcript is spliced from 3 exons. The record is from RefSeq and is a predicted model, not a curated record.